GAUGAACGCUGGCGGCGUGCCUAAUACAUGCAAGUCGAGCGAACAGGUGAGGAGCUUGCUCCUCUGACGUUAGCGGCGGACGGGAGAGUAACACGUGGAUAACCUACCUAUAAGACUGGGAUAACUUCGGGAAACCGGAGCUAAUACCGGAUAAUAUAUUGAACCGCGUGGUUCAAUAGUAAAAGACGGUUUUGCUGUCACUUAUAGAUGGAUCCGCGCCGCAUUAGCUAGUUGGUAAGGUAACGGCUUACCAAGGCAACGAUGCGUAGCCGACCUGAGAGGGUGAUCCGCCACACUGGAACUGAGCCACGGCCCAGACUCCGACGGGAGGCAGCAGUAGGGAAGCGUCCGCAAAGUGCGAAAGCCUGACGGAGCAACGGCGCGUGAGUGAUGAAGGUCUUCGUAUCGUAAAACGCUGUUAUUAGGGAAGAACAAAUGUGUAAGUAACUAUGCACGUCUUGACGGUACCGAAUCAGAAAGCCACGGCUAACUACGU
This 496-nucleotide ribosomal RNA is filed under the name uncultured bacterium. Its description in RNAcentral is "partial 16S ribosomal RNA". It matches the Rfam family "Bacterial small subunit ribosomal RNA", at positions 28 to 506 of the family's 1533-position model. The record is from RNAcentral.